Molecule: ribosomal RNA, 234 nt
Filed under: uncultured bacterium
Lineage: Bacteria
Description: partial 16S ribosomal RNA
Rfam family: Bacterial small subunit ribosomal RNA
Source: RNAcentral
GAUCAUGGCUCAGGAUGAACGCUAGCGACAGGCUUAACACAUGCAAGUCGAGGGGCAGCACAGGUAGCAAUACCGGGUGGCGACCGGCGCACGGGUGAGUAACGCGUAUGCAACUUACGUAUCAGAGGGGGAUAACCCGGCGAAAGUCGGACUAAUACCGCAUGAAGCAGGGGCCCCGCAUGGGGAUAUUUGCUAAAGAUUUAUCGCUGAUAGAUAGGCAUACGUUCCAUUAGG